GAUGAACGCUGGCGGCGUGCCUAAUACAUGCAAGUCGAGCGAACAGACGAGGAGCUUGCUCCUCUGACGUUAGCGGCGGACGGGUGAGUAACACGUGGAUAACCUACCUAUAAGACUGGGAUAACUUCGGGAAACCGGAGCUAAUACCGGAUAAUAUAUUGAACCGCAUGGUUCAAUAGUGAAAGACGGUUUUGCUGUCACUUAUAGAUGGCUCCGCGCCGCAUUAGCUAGUUGGUAAGGUAACGGCUUACCAAGGCAACGAUGCGUAGCCGACCUGAGAGGGUGAUCGGCCACACUGGAACUGAGACACGGUCCAGACUCCUACGGGAGGCAGCAGUAGGGAAUCUUCCGCAAUGGGCGAAAGCCUGACGGAGCAACGCCGCGUGAGUGAUGAAGGUCUUCGGAUCGUAAAACUCUGUUAUUAGGGAAGAACAAAUGUGUAAGUAACUAUGCACGUCUUGACGGUACCUAAUCAGAAAGCCACGGCUAACUACGUG
This 497-nucleotide ribosomal RNA is filed under the name uncultured bacterium. RNAcentral's name for it is "partial 16S ribosomal RNA". It matches the Rfam family "Bacterial small subunit ribosomal RNA", at positions 28 to 507 of the family's 1533-position model. The record is from RNAcentral.